RNAcentral lists this transfer RNA (72 nucleotides) under Camelus bactrianus (Bactrian camel). It matches the Rfam family "tRNA". Rfam says of the family: Transfer RNA (tRNA) molecules are approximately 80 nucleotides in length. Their secondary structure includes four short double-helical elements and three loops (D, anti-codon, and T loops). RNAcentral also lists the same sequence under 2 other names. The record is from Rfam by way of RNAcentral. Lineage: Eukaryota; Metazoa; Chordata; Mammalia; Artiodactyla; Camelidae.
GAGAGUAUAGCUGAAGCAGUAGAGCACAUGCUUAGCAUGUAUGAGGUCCUGGGUUCAAGCCCCAGUAUCUCC